ACGGGAGGCAGCAGUGGGGAAUAUUGGACAAUGGGGGAAACCCUGAUCCAGCGACGCCGCGUGAGUGAAGAAGUAUUUCGGUAUGUAAAGCUCUAUCAGCAAGGAAGAAAAUGACGGUACUUGACUAAGAAGCUCCGGCUAAAUACGUGCCAGCAGCCGCGGUAAUACGUAUGGAGCAAGCGUUAUCCGGAUUUACUGGGUGUAAAGGGAGUGUAGGUGGUUUGGCAAGCCAGAUGUGAAAGCCCGGGGCUCAACCCCGUGGACUGCAUUUGGAACUGUUAAACUUGAGUGCAGGAGAGGAAAGUGGAAUUCCUAGUGUAGCGGUGAAAUGCGUAGAUAUUAGGAGGAACACCAGUGGCGAAGGCGGCUUUCUGGACUGUAACUGACACUGAGGCUCGAAAGCGUGGGGAGCAAACAGGAUUAGAUACCCUGGGA
Molecule: ribosomal RNA, 435 nt
Filed under: uncultured Lachnospiraceae bacterium
Lineage: Bacteria; Bacillati; Bacillota; Clostridia; Lachnospirales; Lachnospiraceae
Description: bacterial SSU rRNA
Rfam family: Bacterial small subunit ribosomal RNA
Source: RNAcentral